Molecule: non-coding RNA, 82 nt
Organism: Lentinula aff. detonsa
Lineage: Eukaryota; Fungi; Basidiomycota; Agaricomycetes; Agaricales; Omphalotaceae
Source: the annotation of a GenBank genome assembly
GCCCCCGUUGUCUAAUGGUUAUGACGUCAGACUUCUAUGUUUGUGAAUCUGGAGGUUGCGGGUUCGAGUCCCGCCGGGGGUU